GUCCACGCCCUAAACGAUGAUUACUCGAUGUGUGCGAUACACUGUACGCGUCUGAGCGAAAGCAUUAAGUAAUCCACCUGGGGAGUACGGCCGCAAGGCUGAAACUCAAAGGAAUUGACGGGGGCCCCGCACAAGCGGAGGAGCAUGUGGUUUAAUUCGAUGAUACGCGAGGAACCUUACCAGGGCUUGAAAGUUAGGGAAUGAUCUGGAAACAGGUCAGUCAGCAAUGACCCGAAACUAGGUGCUGCAUGGCUGUCGU
This 259-nucleotide ribosomal RNA is filed under the name uncultured bacterium. Its description in RNAcentral is "partial 16S ribosomal RNA". It matches the Rfam family "Bacterial small subunit ribosomal RNA", at positions 793 to 1055 of the family's 1533-position model. The record is from RNAcentral.